Long non-coding RNA from Aedes albopictus (Asian tiger mosquito), 3482 nucleotides. RefSeq lists it as uncharacterized. Lineage: Eukaryota; Metazoa; Arthropoda; Insecta; Diptera; Culicidae. The transcript has 6 exons. The record is from RefSeq and is a predicted model, not a curated record.
UCAGCUUGGCCAAGGCGGCCGCGGCGGUGUGGCGACCCCCACAUGAGGAUCCAUCCUUCCAACAAGAUUUUCCAAGAGAGGAUCACGGUCUCGGAGCUACUCUUGCGUAGCGAUUGCGUUGGUAUUGGUGCGCGCGUAGCAAAAUUUUUCCCUCACGCUUUUCCGAGCAAAUUUUCCUCUUUUCGCAUCAGUUGGUUGAAAUUUAUGCACCCGUACGGAAUCAUCCAUCGAGAGUGGGCCUCCGCUGGCAGCUGGCGAACCGAUAGUGAAGCAAAAAACAGACUCUGGAGCUGGGGAGAUUUGGCCAUACCUUUGGCUGAGGGGUACUGGGAUUUGAAGUGUGUCUUUUGAUGUGAGAUUUGUGGAUAUUUUGUCCGAAAGAUAAUAACCGCUGGAUCAGUUCUGGGCUUGAUCUGCUCUAGGCAAGAGAACUUCGUCGAAUUUUAGGUGUUCUGUUCGCGACUUUAAUACUGGACCAGCGAGGACUUUUUUCUGGGAUUACAUCUUGAAGGAUAUGUGCGAGAAAUUUGCGUGAAUAAUUGAGUCGCAUCAAUAAGAAAUGCUGCUGGUGAAUAAGUGAUAGCACUUAGUCUGAACGGAUCGUGUCGGUAUUGACUCCAACUGGUGGAAGUGAAGAAAUAGAAAAAUGCCAGUGUUCUUCUGUUUGAAUCUAAUAUUGAGUGGUGAUCGCAAAUGAAACCGGACUAGUCCAGAUUGUUUUGUGUGUGGGUGAAAAGUGAUAAAGACAUCGAUUUGAUUUUUCACUUGCGAAGAAACUGAACAGAAGUAACGCUUCGUCUCUCGGUGAUGGUGAUUUAUUUACUGCCAGCUUUGCUUAAAUAGAGAGGCCCGGAUCGUGUAUGAUAGGAGAAACCGAACGUGGACAGUCUUGAAUUUGGUGAAGCAUUUUUGCCAUCUGUCAGGAUUUUUUUCAUAGAAUCACAGCCCAAGUGAAAGUGAAAAGCUCAAACCCAAUAGAUGCCAUUGGAAGGUUGAUAAAAUCGUUGCAUAAAUCACAGCCCAAUGGCAGCAAUCCGAAACCAAAGAAAUAUGGAAAUUCAGUCGAACGCCAUCCAAUGCUAGGGUUGUGAGGUUUCGACUUCUAUACGAGAAAUCACAUUCAAAAAUAUAUUCUCCUAGUGCGUGGUGCGGUGGGAGUAAGUACGAGUGAAAAUCGAAGAAAACGUAUAAGCAAUCGAAAGCGAAAACCCGGUGGAAAAUAAGAGAGAAAACAGCAGAAAAAUAUUUCCUUAUAUUUGAAUCAAAAGCAACACUCCGCGAUAGCUUCUACACGAGUGUUUCGAGCAAAACGCAAGAGUGUGCGGGAAGAAAGUAAAAACAGCAUAAGUCCUAGCCGCAGAAGCAAAAAGCUAUCAAAAAGUGUGUGAAUAAAAAAAAAGAAAUAUGAGUAAAAAAUUGUAAUUGUUAUUGAUCGUGACAAGAGGUAAAGGAAGAAGGGAGAAUAAAUUAUAUUGAAGCUAAAGGAGUCCAAACCUUAGUGAGUGCUGCGAAUACUACGAAAAGAAAAGCUCAGAAGUGUAAGGGUUCUGGAAGUGAUUUUUCUCCUUCUCAUUCCUCAAGGGUCGUGCCAACUAUACAUUUGCGUGAACGUCGAACCUGCAAUUAAUAAUAAUAGUGGUAUAAGGAAAAAACCAUCCAAACGUGGCAAAGUACAAGUGGCGACGAGGUGGCAGCGAAGUGGCAACAAUUGUGUGCGCUUCUAUACUCACUUUUCCUGUGUGUCAGAAAUCUAUGCUCACUAAGGCGAAAACAGGUGUAAAACGAAAAGAAGAAAGUCGUCAUCACUAGGGAAACCCCGAAGAAUUUCCCAGAACUAGAGCAAUCUCCUAGUGUCGUAAGAAAAUUUCUCUCCGUGCCAGCGGCAACAGCAAGUCGAGUGGUGUGCAGGCAGUGUGUUCAACAAAAAGCUAAAAGAGGCGAAAAAGCGAGAUUUUCUCGAGUUCAGCAGCCAGUUGAAGCCCGUUCAGUUCAGUGUAUCUGUGCGAGAAAAGUUGGAGAGUGCUCGGUUGGUGUUGGUGGUUUCCCACGAGAAGAGUGUGGAAGAGCAUCAUCAUCAUACAGGUUUCCAUCCAUCGAGCGACGGACGACAACGCGGCAGCAGCCAACCCGUCAGCCAAAUCAGUCAAAUCAGGGCAGUGUGGGUAUUGAAGAGAUUUGAGGGGUCAGCAUUAUAAUGCCGUGGUGUUGAAAUGCGAAUACCCAUCAAUGUCCAUCAGAAACGGACAUUUGAUGCGAACAAACCAUGAUUGAUGAACCAACUUUGCCGGAACAAUCCAACGGUGAUGCUCAUGCUGUUUGCGACUGCCAGCGAGGGACAGUGGGCCACCACCACCGGCUUCAUCAACACCAGCAGCUGCUACUCUAGACCAUUGCUAGGCGCUCAAAUACCACGAAAUAAGACCGAAAUGGCCCCAACUGCCAUCAGAAACGGCACACCGAACAAGUUGACAACAUCCCACUAACCACCGACCGGCCGGUUGGGCAUUCCCCGAUACUGCUGCGUGUGUUCGUUCGUUCAUGUUGGGGAUUCUUCGGAAUUGAAACUUGGCAUCAUCGAAGUAGUAGAGCUUAUGUCGGCUUAACCGGAAGGGGCUGAGGGAAAGCGAGGGAAUUAUUAGUCGUUAGUGUAGUGUGGUGGUAGCUGAAAUACUGGGCAGUGGAAAAAAAAAUCUUCGUUGGCCUCGGCAGCAGCAGCGUGAGAGCUUAGAGCGAAAGUGUAUCCUUCGGGGAAAGCGACCUGUGGUGGAAGCUGUAGCAACUAAUAUGAGGGCUCGUCGAGCUAAAGCCUCUCGGUAACAAGUGGGAAAGUGAAACUUGGGGAAGUGAGGCAAAGUAAAUGGUAAAAAAUUGAAGAUCAAGUGUUGGCAGACAAGCUGUUGUUGGUUGGGAAGCGGAACGAGCUCGUGGUGGGUGGCAGUUGAGAAAUUGGAUGGUGAAGAUAUCAAGAUGAAAGUGAUUAAUCAUCACAGCAGUGCCAUUUAGUUCGGAAAGGAAACGGGUUCGGUUACAAAAAAGAAACGGGAAAAGCGAAGCGGAGUGGAUGGUUUUCUGCUACAUUAACAUCAGCUUGAAGUUUUCUGGGCGGGAAGUGCUUCUCGGUGAAUAAUUUUCAAUAUCAUCACAAUGUUAAUCAGUUCGUGAAGCGUUUGGAUCGUCUGGGUCGAAGGUCGUCGUGAAGGACUGUGUAGUUAGUGAGGGGAUUGAAAUUUCGCCGACGUCGACGCAGCAAACCGGAAGGAUUGGACUAAGCCAACGCCGUAGGGAUUCGACAAGAGAAUUUGCAUCUGAGCCCACCAUCGCAGAGCGGCAAAGGAAAAUAAAACAGAUGGAAGAUGUAGUCUGAGCAUGUUGUUUCCGAGGAAUUUGCGCUUUUCAUUAUUUUCCAUCUGCUUAGCCCCGAAAUUGCUUGAAAGCCAUUAUCAUAAGCAAAGAACGAAGGAAUAGCAAAACUAGAAGGAGCU